CUUUACCGCCACCACCACCCCCAGCUUCCACCCGUCUACCGGCAGCUUGACAACCUCGACUUCACCACUGCUGCCAAAAUCCUCUUCACCGAACCUCCCAAAAAGAAGAAGUUUGGGUUUGAUUUUCACUUGGUGCAGUUCUUCUUUGCUUGCAUGCCUUCAUUAGUUGUUUAUCUGGUGGCUCAAUAUGCACGCUAUGAAAUCAGAAGGAUGGAAGCGGAAGUAGAGAAAAAGAAGAAAGCUGAGGAAGAAGAGAAAACAAAAGAAGCAGGAAUCAGUUGCCGAGGAGGACGAUUCAAAGUUGUCAAAGGUGUUAGUAAGGCUAGAUGCACUAGAGGAUACUGUCAAAGAAAUUGUCGAUAGCAAGAAACCUUCAGAAACCGACCUGUCCAAGGAUCAAAGUGUUGCCAAAAAAGAUAAUUCUGCAACUGUUGACAAAGAUCCUGACCCAAAGAUCAAAUCGAAAUUAGCCGAGCCAACACCAGCCAACAGAAAAGACAUGAUCAGUAGCUCAAGUCCUCCAAUCAAUGUCACAGAGGAUAAGGAUCAAGAUAACAAGACUAGGGAGAAAGGUUCAUCCUCCAUGAAGUCAGGAAGACCA
Molecule: long non-coding RNA, 601 nt
Organism: Dioscorea cayenensis subsp. rotundata (Guinea yam)
Lineage: Eukaryota; Viridiplantae; Streptophyta; Magnoliopsida; Dioscoreales; Dioscoreaceae
Exons: 4
Source: RefSeq, a predicted model, not a curated record